AUGAUUCGUGGGACGUCCUGCCGGUGGUGGCGAGUCGGAGGCGUGCACCUGUUGUGGUUUUCCACUUCGGUUCUUGCGCGCCCGAGGCGGACCCCGAUGAAAUCCUACCGCGGUGCUCUUCACCGAGUGUCGAGGUGGGCCGGCACGUUUACUUUGAACAAAUUAGAGUGCUUAAAGCAGGCCUGUUGCGCCUGAAUACUGUGUGCAUGGAAUAAUGGAAUAGGACCUCGGUUCUAUUUUGUUGGUUUUCGGAACCCGAGGUAAUGAUUAAUAGGGACAGGCGGGGGCAUUCGUAUUGCGACGUUAGAGGUGAAAUUCUUGGAUCGUCGCAAGACGGACCGAAGCGAAAGCAUUUGCCAAGUAUGUUUUCAUUAAUCAAGAACGAAAGUUAGAGGUUCGAAGGCGAUCAGAUACCGCCCUAGUUCUAACCAUAAACGAUGCCAGCUAGCGAUCCGCCGAAGUUCCUCCGAUGACUCGGCGGGCAGCUCCCGGGAAACCAAAGCUUUUGGGUUCCGGGGGAAGUAUGGUUGCAAA
This 534-nucleotide ribosomal RNA is filed under the name Cohnia andeana. RNAcentral describes it as "SSU rRNA". It matches the Rfam family "Eukaryotic small subunit ribosomal RNA", at positions 647 to 1135 of the family's 1831-position model. The record is from RNAcentral. Lineage: Eukaryota; Metazoa; Arthropoda; Insecta; Orthoptera; Tettigoniidae.